UCCUGGCUCAGGACGAACGCUGGCGGCGUGCCUAAUACAUGCAAGUCGAGCGGACAGAUGGGAGCUUGCUCCCUGAUGUUAGCGGCGGACGGGUGAGUAACACGUGGGUAACCUGCCUGUAAGACUGGGAUAACUCCGGGAAACCGGGGCUAAUACCGGAUGGUUGUUUGAACCGCAUGGUUCAAACAUAAAAGGUGGCUUCGGCUACCACUUACAGAUGGACCCGCGGCGCAUUAGCUAGUUGGUGAGGUAACGGCUCACCAAGGCAACGAUGCGUAGCCGACCUGAGAGGGUGAUCGGCCACACUGGGACUGAGACACGGCCCAGACUCCUACGGGAGGCAGCAGUAGGGAAUCUUCCGCAAUGGACGAAAGUCUGACGGAGCAACGCCGCGUGAGUGAUGAAGGUUUUCGGAUCGUAAAGCUCUGUUGUUAGGGAAGAACAAGUACCGUUCGAAUAGGGCGGUACCUUGACGGUACCUAACCAGAAAGCCACGGCUAACUACGUGCCAGCAGCCGCGGUAAUACGUAGGUGGCAAGCGUUGUCCGGAAUUAUUGGGCGUAAAGGGCUCGCAGGCGGUUUCUUAAGUCUGAUGUGAAAGCCCCCGGCUCAACCGGGGAGGGUCAUUGGAAACUGGGGAACUUGAGUGCAGAAGAGGAGAGUGGAAUUCCACGUGUAGCGGUGAAAUGCGUAGAGAUGUGGAGGAACACCAGUGGCGAAGGCGACUCUCUGGUCUGUAACUGACG
RNAcentral lists this ribosomal RNA (746 nucleotides) under Bacillus subtilis. RNAcentral's name for it is "bacterial SSU rRNA". It matches the Rfam family "Bacterial small subunit ribosomal RNA", at positions 17 to 745 of the family's 1533-position model. Lineage: Bacteria; Bacillati; Bacillota; Bacilli; Caryophanales; Bacillaceae. The record is from RNAcentral.